RNAcentral lists this ribosomal RNA (406 nucleotides) under uncultured bacterium. Its description in RNAcentral is "partial 16S ribosomal RNA". It matches the Rfam family "Bacterial small subunit ribosomal RNA", at positions 30 to 526 of the family's 1533-position model. The record is from RNAcentral.
AUUGAACGCUGGCGGCAGGCCUAACACAUGCAAGUCGCACGAGUGGCGGACGGGUGAGUAAUGUCUGGGAAACUGCCUGAUGGAGGGGGAUAACUACUGGAAACGGUAGCUAAUACCGCAUACCAUCAGAUGUGCCCAGAUGGGAUUAGUUAGUUGGUGGGGUAACGGCUCACAAAGGCUACGAUCCCUAGCUGGUCUGAGAGGAUGACAAGCCACACUGGAACGGAGACACGUGCCAGACUCCUACGGGAGGCAGCAGUGGGGAAUAUUGCACAAUGGGCGCAAGCCUGAUGCAGCCAUGCCGCUUGUAUGAAGAAGGCCUUCGUGUUGUAAAGUACUUUCAGCGGGGAGGCGUUACCCGCAGAAGAAGCACCGGCUAACUCCGUGCCAGCCGCCGCGGUAAUAC